AAUUUGGCACAAUGGGGGAAACGCUGAUCCAGCCAUGCCGCGUGGAUGAUGAAGGCCNNNGGGUUNUCAAGUACUUUUGGCAGNGACNAAAAGGUAUCUCCUAAUACGAGAUACUGCUGACGGUAUCUGCAGAAUAAGCACUGGCUACCUACGUCCCAGCAGCUGCGGUAAUACGUAGGGUGCAAGCUUUAAUCGGAAUUACUGGGCGUAAAGCGUGUGUAGGCGGUUCGGAAAGAAAGAUGUGAAAUCCCAGGGCUCAACCUUGGAACUGCAUUUUUAACUGCCGAGCUAGAGUAUGUCAGAGGGGGGUAGAAUUCCACGUGUAGCAGUGAAAUGCGUAGAUGUGUGGAGGAAUACCGAUGGCGAAGGCAGCCCCCUGGGAUAAUACUGACGCUCAGACACGAAAGCGUGGGGAGCAAACA
RNAcentral lists this ribosomal RNA (422 nucleotides) under uncultured bacterium. Its description in RNAcentral is "partial 16S ribosomal RNA". It matches the Rfam family "Bacterial small subunit ribosomal RNA", at positions 360 to 774 of the family's 1533-position model. The record is from RNAcentral.